RNAcentral lists this non-coding RNA (48 nucleotides) under Trichobilharzia regenti. Lineage: Eukaryota; Metazoa; Platyhelminthes; Trematoda; Strigeidida; Schistosomatidae. The record is from RNAcentral.
AUCCAGUUGAUGAGUCCCAAAUAGGACGAAAUGCGCGUUAUCCUGGAU